RNAcentral lists this ribosomal RNA (465 nucleotides) under uncultured bacterium. RNAcentral's name for it is "partial 16S ribosomal RNA". It matches the Rfam family "Bacterial small subunit ribosomal RNA", at positions 28 to 507 of the family's 1533-position model. The record is from RNAcentral.
GACGAACGCUGGCGGCGUGCUUAACACAUGCAAGUCGAACGGAAAGGCCCUGCUUGCAGGUUACUCGAGUGGCGAACGGGUGAGUAACACGUGGGUGUUCUGCCCUGCACUUCGGAUUAAGCCUGGGAAAGUGGGUCUAUAACCCGAUAGUAGCCAUGUUGAGUGUGGUGGUUGGAAAGUUUUUUCGGUGUAGGAUGAGCUCGCGUCCUAUUAGCUUGUUGGUGGGGUAAUGGCCUACCAAGGCGGCGACGGGUAGCCGGACUGAGAGGGUGGUCCGCCAUACUGGGUCUGAGAUAAGGCACAGACGCGUAAGGGAGGACGAAGGGCGGAAUACUGAACAAGCGACGCAAGCCGGAUGAAGAGAGUCUGCGGAGGGGAUGACGCCCUUAGGGUUGAAGAAUCCUAUCGAUAGGGAAGAAGCUUUUUGUGACGGUACCUACAUAAGAAGCACCGGCUAACUACGUG